AAGUGUUUCACUCAAUCACUCAAGUGUUUAAGGUGACACUCCACUCUCUAUUGUUCACAAGUCACAUGAAACAAAAUUGUCAUUCAUCUCAAACAAUCAACAUCUUUACAUGCAAAUGCCAUCAAAAGGACUUUUUCAAGGCUUGUAAUGAUGUUGAGCUAACAAGAAAAAUUGGUUUUUCCAGAAUACAAAGUCCUUGAGUUAAGAGAGCUUUCAAAGUAUUUAACAAUUUAAGCACAACUCUCUUCCUCACCAAUCUCACUUAGUCCCAACUUUUUCCCCUUUUUCUUUAUCAUUGAGCUCCUCUUCAUGCUUUUCUUCUUUUCUUUUCUUUUUCUCAUGAAUUUUUUUUCUUUUCACAACAUUCGAGCUCAAUGUUUCACAAUUGCUUUUCAAUUUUCCUCCAUACAACCCCAAACUUGAACCUUUUCAUCAUAUACAAUUAAGCUCAUCCCAACUCAAGGUAAAGAAUUUAAAGACAAGGGUUCACAUCCUGUUUAAGGCUAAGGUUCAAAAAGGGUAUAAUAUUUUCAAGCAUUUUGGGUGAAAAUUUGGCUAGAGAAGGGUUCUCAAAAUUGUCCUUGAUCAUAUGACAUUUACAUGCAAUUAAAUCAAUCAUCAAGAUUAUAGCAAUAUCAUUCAUGUUUUCCUGUGAAUAAUGCAUACAACAAUAAAAACUCUGGAGCUCAAAAUCUCACACACAUGCUUCCUUACACAAAAUUCAAUCAUGCAUCCUGGUUAGCAUCAAAACCACAAUCAUAAUUCAUCACACAUCUAUUUCACCAAAUAUCAACAUGCAUUGCGACUCAAUUCUCAGCCACAUCAAAUAAUCAUCAAAUAGCUCCAUCAUUCACACCAGUCAGUCAAACAUUUUCAGGAAAAGUAUUCAAGCCAAGGAUACACACUAAAAUUAAAAUUCAACCUAUUCUAGGAAUUUAAAAUGCGAAGAGUAAAAGAAGAAAUCUAGGUUGCCUCCUAGUAGCGCUUGUUGAACGUCACGAGCCUGACCCAAACCUGAUUAGCACUUGUCAGUAAGUACAAUACCUCUCGUCACCCAUAAGUAGGUAUGCCUUCCUGAAAUCCUUCAGUGGAUUCAAAAAUUUUCUAGCAUCCCUCAGUAGAUGCUAUCAUUACUGCCAUCAGAACAUAUGGAGAACAUAUAAAUAAUCAAUAAUUUCAAUAAGAGAGAGUAUCAAAAGAUUACAUUGUAUUCCCCAACAACAAUAGGGUUUAGUUCACCAUGGACAUGGAGAAACUAGAUGAAAAAUGGAAGAAGAAUGAAAGAGCAAACCCUAGAAAAGAUGAAAAGGAGCCUAAGCAUCCAAGAGAUCCUCUGUAGAGAGCAAAAUUAGGUCUGGCCGUCUUCCCCUGUCAAAAGAAUGACUCUGAAUUCGUAGAAGGGGUAUUUAUAGGUGAGGAGUGCGUCAAAAUCAGGCCCAAGUCCAGCGUGCCACCGCCGGGCGGUUUAAGUGUGCCGCCCGGCGAUUUCCCAUAACCUGCCGCCAUCGCCCGGCGGUUUCCCUCGCCACCGCCCGGCGGCAAUCGCCAACGCCCGGCAGUUUCUCUCAGCUUGAAAUGCGGCCUAUUCGUCGUCCUGGACCGCCUGGCGGGACACUUAAGUAUGCCUCCGGGCGGUACGUCGACUCUUCAAAACUUCAUUUUUCUGUUCUUUUCUUGAGUCAACGACCUGUAUCUUUAACUCCAUUCUUCACUUUUCUCAAAUUAGCUUCAGAACAAUGCAAAACAAGCAUAAAAUUGCUAAAAACAACUUUUGACUCUCUCCAGACUCAUUUAUUGAGUUUUUCUUGAUUCUAAGCUAUUUCUGAGUAGUAAAAGGUGUAAUUUGGUCCAAAUUAACAUAUGAAAAUCACUGUUUUUCAACCUUCAUCAACACACCAAACUUAGAAUUUUGCUUGUCCUCAAGCAAAACAAAACAAAACAACAAACAAACAAAACUUGGCUUUACAUUGUUUCAUCCAAUGCCUCAACAAUCCCCAAGGUACAUGACAAAAUCACUCAAAUCAAUACCUUUAGUGAAAUCCAAAAUAAGAUGCAUGCAUGCUUUCAAUCCAGAGAUUUGCACAAUAGAUGUUAUACACUAUGAAUGAUCAAUUCACUAAGCAAAAAUGUACUCAUGAAAUUUAACAAUUCAUACCAAGCAAGUGUUUCACUCAACCACUCGAGUGUUUAAGGUGACACUCCAACUCUCUAUUGUUCACAAGUCACAUGAAACAAAAUUGCCAUUCAUCUCAAACAGUCAACAUCCUUACAUGCAAAUGCCAUCAAAAGGACUUUUCCAAGGCUUGUAAUAAGGUUGGGCUAACAAGAAAAAUUGAUUUUUCUAGAAUGCAAAAUCCUUGAGUCAAAAGAGCUAUUAAAAUAUUCAACAAUUAAGCACAACUCUCUUCCUUACCAAUUUCUCUCAUUCCCAACUUUUGCCUUAUCUUUUUCUUUUGCAUCGAGCUCUUCUUCAUGCUUUUCUUCUUUUCUUUUCUUUUUCUCAUGAAUUUUUCUUUUUCACAACAUUUGAGCUCAAUGCUUUUCACUUGCUUUUUUCAACUUUCCCCCAACAACCCCAAACUUGAACCUUUUUAUCUCAUACAAUUAAGCUCAUCCCAACUCAAGGUAAAGAAUUUCAAAACAAGGGUUCACACACUGUUUAAGGCUAAGGUUCAUAAAGGGUAAAAUAUUUUUAACCAUUUUGGGUAAAAAAUUUUGCUACAUAAGGGUUUUCAAAAAUGGCCUUAAUCAUAUGACAUUCACAUGCAAUUCAAUCGAUCAUCAAGAUUAAGGCAAUAUCAUCCAUGUUUUCCUGCAAACAAUACAUGCAACAAUACAAACUCUGGAGCUCAAAAUCUCACACACAUGCUUCCUCACACAAUUCAUUCAUACACCAUGCCUAACAUCAUGACCACAAUCAUAAAUUCAUCACCCAUCUAUUUCCUGGAUAUCAACAUGCAUUACAACUAAAUUUUCUUUCACAUCAAAUAAUCAUCAAAUAGAUCCAUCAUGCACACCAGUUAGUCAAACAUUUUCAGAACAAGUGAUAAAGCCAAGAAUACAUACCAAAAUUAAAAUUCAACCUAUUCUAGAAAAAAGAAUUAAAAUGCAAGAGUGCAAGAAGAAAUUCUAGGUUUCCUCCUAGUAGCGCUUGUUUAACGUCGCGAGCCUGACCCAAACCUAGUUGGCACUCGUCAGUAAGUGCACUAUCUUCCACCACCCAUAAGUAGGUGUACCGUCCGGAUAUCCUUCAGUGGAUACCAAAAAUUUAGCUUCCCUCAGUAGAUGCUACCCAAGAAUUGUUCACAAAAUUCAAAAAUACAAGUUCCAAAGAAAAUAAAACCAAAACCGAAAAAGAAAAUUGUUCCCAUGAGUACAAAAUUUUUCCAACAAAUUCAGCCCUUCUUCUUUGCAUUGGGAUCUCCGUCAUCCCACCAGCUCACUUUUCUUCGGUCCACCUUUUUGGUCACUUUUGAAUAUGGUCUUUGAAUCUCCACCAUUCCUUUUUCCUUCAGCUCCUUGACCAUCCAUUCCUUCCUCUUAAAUCUCACCUUGCUCCCUGGUAGGAGUGGAUCUUCUUUUGCUCUUGAAUGAAUGGUUCUUCCCCCUUUAUUUUCAGGCACCUGCAAAACACAACAACUGUCAAAAUAAUCAUCACCUGCUAAUCUUUCUUCUUGUUCUUCAUUCACCUCUGGCUUCUCAAAUGUUGUUCUUUUCACUAUCUUAAUCUCAUCCCCUUCACAGCCAGUAUGGAGAAAUAGAUACUUUAAAUCUCUCAUCAUUAUUCUUCCAUUAUGAGCAUCAAUAAACAUCUUUGAUGUUGUCAUGAAGGGUCGCCCAAAAAUCACAGGAUGCUCAUCUUCUGUUUGAACAUCCAUGACAAUGAAAUCUGCUAAAAACUCAAGACAGUCUAUUCGCACAACAACAUCUUCCACCAUUCUUGCUGGCCGUUUUUUAGAACCAUCUACCAUUGUUAUUGUCAAAUCAGAGGGUUUCAACACAAGUCCACCAAUUUCCUUGAAAAGUUCCGUGGGUAUCAAGUUGAUGCUGGAUCCAGAAUCUAUCAUAGCUUCCCCAUCCCAAUCAUUCAGGGAACAUAACAAUGUUAAACACCCUGGAUCUUUAGCCUUAGGAGGAUAAUUACUCUUUGGUGGGUGAACGACAAGAUCCUCUUCUUCAUCAGUAAGUUCCACUUCAUCCUCCUUGUUACUUUUGAUUCUUUCUGAAUGGGGAGGACUCUGCUCAUUUUCUAAAGGUGACACCAUCACUUCACCAACUUCUUUUUCCUUAAAAUUUUCCUCUCCUUCAACUUCACUGCUCAUGGGUUCAAAGAAUUCACCCAUUAACGUCUCUUCUUCUUCACUGUUAACCACAUGGAAUGGUUCAACAUCUUUCUCCCAACAAUCUUGGCUGUCUUCGUGCCAACCACUCUGACUUGCCAUAAUCUUGCACUCCUUCUUAGGGUUAGCCUCAGUGUUGGCCCUAAACUGAUUUUUUCGUGUAAUUUCUAUCCUUGUUGCCAGCUGCCCAAUUUGUGACUGCAGUGAUUUAAAGUUGGCCUGAUUGUUAUUCAUUUGCUGCUCAUAUCUUUUGUAAAAGUCAUCAAAUCGAUUACUCAGGGCUCUGACAGACUCAGUCAAAUUACUUACUUGCUGCCACAGAGGUAGUGGUUGUUGCUGCCGGACGUUUCCUCCUUGACCCGAAGAAGCAUUUUGGCUUUCCCCAAUACUUGGAUGAUUUUUCCAACCUUGGUUAGAGUUACCUUGGUUCAAAUUUCCCUGUUUAUACUGAAAUUGGGCCCCCAUAUAAUUUACGUCCUGCUGCAUCUCUUCUGUAAAAGCACAUUGACCAUUAAUAUGGUCACCACCACACAAAUCACAUAAUUGUUGUGCCUGAGAAAUAUUUCUGAGUCCCCGAGGAAGUUUAGAAACAACCUUUAGCAACUUGUCUAAUUUCUGACUGAGGAGGUGAUUUUGUGCUGAUGCUGUGUCUUCAGUGGGGAGAUGUAAAAGUCCUCCUUUAUGCGUGCCUCUUUCAUUCUGCGACACUUCAUUGAGAGCCAUCUCUUCAAUUAAAUUGUGUGCCUCAUCUGCUGUUUUUCUGUUAAUACUGCCUCCAGCCGAGGCAUCUAUCAUCAUCUUGGUCUGAGCGCGCAAACCUCCAAGGAACGCUAGCAAGUAUGAAGCUUUAUCAAACCCAUGAACUGGGGUUGCUCUCAACAAUCCUUUGAAUCUGUCCCAUGCUUGCCCUAGUGUUUCUUCCAUUCCUUGUUUAAAAGAAGAGAUUUCUAACUUCCCCUGAUUGAUCUUUGGUGGUGGGAAGAAUUUAGUAAUAAACUGUUGGACCACUGCUUCCCACGUCCUGAACGUCCCCUUCGGGAAAGAAUUCAACCAGUCUUUUGCAUUUCCUCCCAAAGAGAAAGGAAACAAACUAAGUUUGACUCUGUCGUCCGUCACUCCAGUUAUCUUUAUUGUGUUGCAAAUUUCUCCAAAGACUGUCAAAUGCUUGUAAGGAUUUUCAUUUGACAACCCAUGAAAUUGGUUGUUCUGGACUAACUGGAUAAGUGCCAGACUAAUCACCAUGCUGGUUGUGUUGUCUGUUGGCACUGCAAUGGUGUUAAAAUUCAAGGUGCCAACUGUGUUAGCUGCAUCCCCUAGAGUGCGUUUGGGAGGAGGUUGAUUGGCCACCUCCUCAAGAUUUUGUUCAAUGGUCUCAGGUGGAGUAACUUCUCGAGAAAGAGAUUUUUCACAAAAUGGACUUCUCUUUCUCCUCUCGUAUGGUAGACCUUCUAGCAAAGGUUGUUGGUUUUUCCUUCUUCUAGUAUGUAUUGUCUCCUACAUGCAAAAGAAACACACCCUAAAAGCACUUUUAAAGAAAAAUACAAAAUGCAAUAAAAGAAAAAUAAAAACAAAAAUAAUUACAAUCAAGUCAAAUUCAAUUAAUUCACACUACUAGAAAAAUAAACCUCGAGUUCCCGGCAACGGCGCCAAAAACUUGUUCACGGAUUGGCAAGUGUACCAAAUCGUACAAGUAAUAUAAAUGGUAAGACCAAGUAUCGUUUUUCCCAAGAGACUCGUAUGGCUUUCUCUUUCGCGUGAAUUAAAAUAAUAAGACAUGAAAAAUAAAAUUUAUUAAAUUGGAUUUUAAGGAAAAAAAUAUUAACAUGCAAAAUAAAUNNNNNNNNNNNNNNNNNNNNNNNNNNNNNNNNNNNNNNNNNNNNNNNNNNNNNNNNNNNNNNNNNNNNNNNNNNNNNNNNNNNNNNNNNNNNNNNNNNNNNNNNNNNNNNNNNNNNNNNNNNNNNNNNNNNNNNNNNNNNNNNNNNNNNNNNNNNNNNNNNNNNNNNNNNNNNNNNNNNNNNNNNNNNNNNNNNNNNNNNNNNNNNNNNNNNNNNNNNNNNNNNNNNNNNNNNNNNNNNNNNNNNNNNNNNNNNNNNNNNNNNNNNNNNNNNNNNCCUUGAUUAUUAGAUUGAUUAAAUUGUUAUGCGACUUUCUUAGCCUCCCCUUAACCCGAUCCCUCAGCGAAAAAUGGCCUAAUAUCAAUUACCGGCUUGCUAUCCCUAACCUCCCGUAAUAAUUAAUACCGCAUUAUGAACCGAAGUUAGCGCAAUUGAUCGUCCUACUCCUAUCCCUCAGUGGGCGGAUUUGAGGGAAACCGCCGGGCGGUUUUGCGAUUUGUGGGAAACCAUCGGGCGCCACACUUGUUCCGCCGGGCGGUGGUGUGUUGGGCCUGGGCCUGUUUUCGGCUGCGCUCCUCACCUAUAAAUAACACUAUUGCGAGUUGAGAUGUAUUCUUUUGACAGGGGAGAACAGUCAGACCUAAUUUUGCUCUCUGGAGAGGAUCUCUUGGAUGCUUAGGCACCUUUUCAUCUUUUCUAGGGUUUGCUUUUCCAUUCUUCUUCCAUUUUUCAUCUAGAUUCACCAUGAAAAUGGUGAACUAAACCCUGUUGUUGUUGGGGGAAACAAUGUAAUCUUUUGAUACUCUCUGUUAUUGAAACUCUUGAUUGUUUAUAUGGUUUCCAUAUAAUUUGAUUGUUAAUUGUUGGGUUCUCAUCUAUGCUUAAUGCCUUUAUCGUUUAACUCAUUCGAUAACUGAUGUUUGUCUUUAUUAAUACGGGGAUGUACAAUAAUGUCAUGAACUGAUGAGUAAUUUCUUGAUUAUGCAUUAUCACCUAGGGAUAGGGGUAUGACGAUAAAUUGCAUUUAACUUCUGCGCUAUAAUGCUGUAUUAAUUGCUAGGGGAGUGAUGGGUUGUCGCGGCCCAUACAAAUUUGAUUGCAUAUGAGAAAUGUAGUAUAGACUAGGAAGUGACUCCUAGGUCGUCUCUCAAGUACCAAAUGUGGUUCGAGAAUUAAGUCAGACACGAAGUCGAGGGGGGAGGUUGGGUUUGUGAAAAGAAUGUGAAAACGGAUAAACAAUCAAAACAUGGAUACAAAGAGUAAUGUGAAAAGAACAAUGCGAAACGAAAUGUAAACAGGAAUACAAAGACGGAAUCAAAUACUGAAUAAAAACGGUUGGUCAUUAACUCAAUUACUAUGCUUCCUAUCCUAGAUUAACAACAAGUACACACUACUCUAAUCCAAAUCCAACACGAAUCACCCAACUAAGCGAAAGCUAAUCCGGUCUUUAAAAAUGCAAACUAAGCGAAUGCAAUGCUCAAUUCCAAUCAGUCAGCCACCAUGCAGUCUAAUCAACUAAGCGAAGAUUAAACAUCGAUUAGGCAACAAAGCGUAUACCUAAUCCCAGGCAUACAACAAAUUAAAUAUUGAGCCAAAUCAGAGCAACAAUAUGAUAAUUAAAGUGCUAAAAUCUCAAGGAAAAAUGUAAUAUCGCUAAUGACCAUCCCGACUAACCUAAGCUAACAUUGCAAUUAAAUUAUCAAAUCAAGCAAAACAGACAAUAUUAAAGUAAAUGAAAACAAUAGAUCGAACAUUGCAAUAGGUAAAAUAUACGAACGCGAGACAAAAAGUUAAAUGCACAUUGAAUAUAUAAAAAAAAAAUAAAAACAUAAUGAUAAACACAAAAUGCGCUACAAUCCAAAUAAAAUAAAACAUGAAACAUGAAUGACAUAAUAAAGUGACAUAAUAAAGUUACUAAAAAAAAUAAAAAAAAUAAAAAGUUGAAUGAUAAAACGUUGAAACACGUUAAAUAAGUAUAGGCUAAGAAUAAAAAAAAAAGAACUUUUGUGAGUUAUCCAAUUCAAGGACGUGAACUGCUUCCUAUUUCUCCAACUAAAAAGUAAAACAACUACUUACCAAGAAUUUGAAAUGUGCUGCCACUAAAACUUCAAUAAAAUAAGUGCAUUAACCAAAUUGAAAAGGCAAUAAAGCAGCAUGGAGCCCUCCUUCAAUUAAAGCAACGUUUUAAUCCUUAAGCUAGACGUGGCAGGCCUUUAUCCCAAAAGAAAUUGAAAGUGGAUUCUCCCAAAAUGAAAUGACCGUGCCUCUUCAAUUGAAAAGUGAAUCAACAUUUUGUUUGCUAGACAUCACCGUGAAUUCAUCUAAAUUGCUGCAGUGUGCUUGUGCUCUUCAUUCACCGUGUGCAAUCUAAAAUAAAAUAACACAAAAUCCUCCUUUCUCCAAUUGAAAAAUCAGCGCCUACAACUAAAUGAAAUGACCAGCAGCUUAAUUGAUUUUAGUACUCCAAAUGAUAAAGCACUACAUCACCUCCUCAUCACUUUUUCAUUUUCAAAGAAAUUGAAAGUAAAUAAAGGAAAAAUAACAUCCAGCUGCCAACACGUAUCAUCCACAGAACCAGCGUUGCACAAUAUGAAAGGGAAAUGAUCUUAAAAAGAAAUGCACCAUGAAUAUGCUGCAGUGUUGCACAAUAACAAGAAAAGAGAGAAAAAAAACGGUUCUUCAUUCAGCCAUAAUAAAAAACUCAAGACAUGAUUGAAAGAAAAUGUUAUCUGAAAGAAACGUUCCAGCACCCCCUUCAAUUGUUUCUGCCGAGAAAAAUUACUCCAAAAAAUGGGUGACGGCUGCUAGCUUAAAGCAAGGCCAUGUGUCACCAAAAAUUAAGGUGGGGUCCACCCUAAAACCCUAGGGUUUGGUGCCAAGUGUCCCUCAAAGUUUGGGCUCAUCAUGAAAUUUGCCAACAUUGGCCCACAAUGUAAAAGUUUGUCUAAAAAUCCUAAACUACUAAAUUACAAUAUAACUAAAAUUUAAAAUGUCUAAAAUGAGAGUCUUGAAUUUAUUUGAUAGCACUUCAAAUGUCCUAAAUUGUGUUUCCAAAAUUUUCACUGAAAAUAAUAAUGCAAAUAAUUAGCUCAGAAAAUUCAAAUUAAUUAAAAUUAGAAUUUCCGGUCAAAUUAAGCAUAAUUAGGAAAAACGAGAAAAUAUCGGACAUUUAAGCACAAUUCCCUGAUUAAUUUGAGCACAAUAAACUAAGUGAAAUCGAUAAAAUAUCGACUCAUCAAAAUAGACCACACUUAGUCUUAUGCACUCCUGGGCAAAAUCAAGACGCAAAGCAGGGAACAGUUCAACGAACAUCAGGGAAUUGACACAGACUCAACAGACAGACAACAAAGACUAACAGGUACAGAAACAAACAAAAUUACAGUCCUCAAGAAAUCUGGACAAGGAAAAGUAGUAGACAGUAUCCACAAAGAAUCAGAGAAAACAGAUACACAGAGAAAUCAUCCAAGCAAUUCUAAGCAUGGCAAAAUAAUCAAUCAGUUCAAGAGGUGAAUCAAAAGCAACAAAAUCUCACAGAUGCACACUAUCAGUGUUUCUGUCAAGUGUCUAAGGUAAACAAUUUCAACUCAAUGCACUCAAGAAAGCAAACAACAAACAAACUUGGCAAGCCUCUAAUAUCAACACUCAAAACAUAUGCAUGUUCAAAUCAAAAGGUCUUUUCAUGGUUGUAAUGGGGCCAAGGACAAGGGAGGAUAAAUAUGGAUGAGAAGCUACUGUUGAAAAAUUGACAAGUGUACCAAAUCGUACAAGUAAUAUAAAUGGUAAGACUAAGUGUCAUUUUUUCCAAGAGACUCGUAUGACUUUCUCGUUCGCGUUAAUUAAAAUAAUAAGACUUGAAAAAUAAAAAUUAAUAAAUUGGAAUUGAGAACAAAAUAUAUUAACAUGUAAAAAUAAAGUUGAUUCAAUUGACAAGCGAAAACAAUGGAGGAAUGGAUGUUGUUGGGGGUUUACAAUUUCAUUUAUUCCGCUCUCUCUUACAUACUACCCUUGAAUAUUAGAUUGAUUAAUUGUUAUGCGACUUUCUUAGCCUCCCCUUAACCCGAUCCCUCGGUGAAAAGGGCCUAAUAUUAACUACUGGCUUGCUAUCCCUAGCCUCCCCUAGUAAUUAAUACCGCAUUAUAAACAGAAGUUAGCGUAAUUGAUCGGCCUACCCCUAUCCCUAGGUGGUAUUGCAAAAUCAAGAGAUUACUCACCAGUUCAUAUGAUAACCCAACAAUAAAGACAAACAUCGAUAUACCGAAUGAGUUAAACGAUAAAAGCCUUAAGCACAUAUGAUAACCCAACAAUAAUCAAUAAAAGCAUAUGGAGACCAUAUAAAUAAUCAAGAGUUUUCAAUAAGAGAGAGCAUCAAAAGAUUACAUAGUUUCCCCCAACAACAAUAGGGUUUAGUUCACCAUAGACAUGGUGAAACUAGAUGAAAAAUGGAAGAGGAAUGGAAAAGCAAACCCUAGAAAAUAUGAAAAGGAGCCUAAGCAUCCAAGAGAUCCUUUCCAGAGAGCAAAAUUAGGUUUGGCCGUUCUCCCCUGUCAAAAGAAUGACUCUGAAUUCGUAAGGGGGGUAUUUAUAGGUGAGGAGCGCGUCAAAGAAAAAACAGGCCCAAGUCCAGCGUGCCACCGCCGGGCGGUUUAAGUGUGCCGCCCGGUGGUUUCCCUUAACAUGCCAUCGCCGCCCGGCGGCCAUCGCCACCGCCUGACGGUUUCCCUCAGCGUGAAAUGCCCUGCCUACUCCUCGUCAUUGAUCGCCCAACGGUUUAAGAGUGCUUCUUGGCGGUACGUCGACUCUUCAAAACUUCAUUUUUCUGCUCUUUUCUUGAGUCAACGACUUGUAUCUUCAACUCCAUUCAUUCUUUUCUCAAAUUAGCUACAAAAGAAUGCAAAAUAAGCAUAAAAUCGCUAAAAACAACUUCUGACUUUCUCCAGACUCAUUUAUUGAGUUGUGCUUGAUUCUGAGCUCAUUCGAAGUAGUAAAGGAUGUAAUUUGGUCCAAAUUGACAUAUGAAAAUAACUUUUUUUCAACCUUCAUCAACACCCCAAACUUAGAAUUUUGAUUGUCCUCAAGCAAAACAAACAAAUCAAUCACACAAAACAAAACUUGGCUUUAUACGAUUUCAUCAAAUGCCUCAACAAUCCUAAGGUACAUGACAAAACCACUCAAUUCAAUAUCCUUAGUGAAAUCCAAAAUAAGAUGCAUGCAUCCUUUCAACCCAAAGAUUGCAUAAUAGAUGUUAUAUACUAUGAAUGAUCAAUCCACUAAGGAAAAAUUUACUCAUGAAAUUUAACAAUUCAUACCACGUAGGUGUUUCACUCAAUCACUCAAGUGUUGCAGGUGACACUGCAACUCUCAAUUACUCACAAGUCGCAUGAAACAAAAUUGCUAUUCAUCUAAAACAAUCAACAUCUUUACAUGGAAAUGCCAUCAAAAGGACUUUUCCAAGGCUUGAAACGAGGUUGGGCGAACAAGAAAGAAUUGGUUUUUCUAGAAUGCAAAAUCCUUGAGUCAAGAGAGCUAUCAAAAUUUCAACAUUUAAGCACAACUCUCACCAAUGUCUCUCAUUCCCAACUUUCCCCUUUNCUUUUUCUUUUGCAUUGAGCUCUUCUUCAUGCUUUUCUUCUUUUCUUUUCUUUUUCUCAUGAAUUUUCUUUUCACAAUAUUUGAGCUCAAUGCUUUUCACUUGCUUUUUCAAUUUUCCCCUGCACAACCCCA
This 11896-nucleotide long non-coding RNA is filed under the name Vigna radiata. RNAcentral describes it as "long non-coding RNA (VRAD_LNC014305)". Lineage: Eukaryota; Viridiplantae; Streptophyta; Magnoliopsida; Fabales; Fabaceae. The record is from RNAcentral.